UCCCUAACCCUUCUGUGAACCUACCUAUCGUUGCUUCGGCGGACUCGCCCCAGCCCGGACGCGGACUGGACCAGCGGCCCGCCGGGGACCUCAAACUCUUGUAUUCCAGCAUCUUCUGAAUACGCCGCAAGGCAAAACAAAUGAAUCAAAACUUUCAACAACGGAUCUCUUGGCUCUGGCAUCGAUGAAGAACGCAGCGAAACGCGAUAAGUAAUGUGAAUUGCAGAAUCCAGUGAAUCAUCGAAUCUUUGAACGCACAUUGCGCCCGCCAGCAUUCUGGCGGGCAUGCCUGUUCGAGCGUCAUUUCAACCCUCGACCUCCCCUUGGGGAGGUCGGCGUUGGGGACCGGCAGCACACCGCCGGCCCUGAAAUGGAGUGGCGGCCCGUCCGCGGCGACCUCUGCGCAGUAAUACAGCUCGCACCGGAACCCCGACGCGGCCACGCCGUAAAACACCCAACUUCUGAACGUUGACCUCGAAUCAGGUAGGACUACCCGCUGAACUUAAGCAUAUCAA
Molecule: ribosomal RNA, 515 nt
Filed under: Beauveria bassiana
Lineage: Eukaryota; Fungi; Ascomycota; Sordariomycetes; Hypocreales; Cordycipitaceae
Description: eukaryotic LSU rRNA
Rfam family: 5.8S ribosomal RNA (bases 150-303)
Source: RNAcentral